RNAcentral lists this ribosomal RNA (492 nucleotides) under uncultured bacterium. RNAcentral's name for it is "partial 16S ribosomal RNA". It matches the Rfam family "Bacterial small subunit ribosomal RNA", at positions 29 to 507 of the family's 1533-position model. The record is from RNAcentral.
AGUGAACGCUGGCGGUAGGCCUAACACAUGCAAGUCGAACGGCAGCACAGUAAGAGCUUGCUCUUACGGGUGGCGAGUGGCGGACGGGUGAGGAAUACAUCGGAAUCUACUUUUUCGUGGGGGAUAACGUAGGGAAACUUACGCUAAUACCGCAUACGACCUACGGGUGAAAGCAGGGGAUCUUCGGACCUUGCGCGAUUGAAUGAGUCGAUGUCGGAUUAGCUAGUUGGCGGGGUAAAGGCCCACCAAGGCGACGAUCCGUAGCUGGUCUGAGAGGAUGAUCAGCCACACUGGAACUGAGACACGGUCCAGACUCCUACGGGAGGCAGCAGUGGGGAAUAUUGGACAAAGGGGGCAAGCCUGAUCCAGCCAUACCGCGUGGGUGAAGAAGGCCUUCGGGUUGUAAAGCCCUUUUGUUGGGAAAGAAAAGCAGCAGGUUAAUACCCCGCGGUUCUGACGGUACCCAAAGAAUAAGCACCGGCUAACUUCGUG